CCGGAAGGAAGGCCAUGAUUUCAGCUCUCUGGGAUUUGAGACAAAGAGGCCCCUUUUCUUUCAUUUUAUCUUUUCAUGUCUCUUCUUGCCAUGUACCCACAUGAUUGAGUGUGGGCUGAGGGUGAAUCCAAGAAGGGCUUUGUUUUGUGGUCAGUACAGGCUUUGGUCCACAGAGACAACAAUACUUUCAAUACUCUUUUGUUCUGCCCCAGAGGAGCUCAACACAGAAUUGCCUAGAACAAGAAACUGGUGAGAGAAGCUGCAGCCUGUUGAGACUCCACAAGACUGAAGAUAUGAAAAGAGGAAAUAUGCAUGAAUGCCCGCACGGAGAACCACCCCCACCUGCUGCUCCCGCUCUAAUGAUCACGCCCAUUAUCAACUGGGGGAUGGCUCUGUGCCUUGUCCUUGCAUUACAUGGACCAAGAACACUUCACAGGACUCAGAGAGUAACACUGAAGAAUGCAGUUUACUUACAUCUUUUUCUGUUUGACAGAAGACAGUUAUUAGAACCCGAAAGGAAGAAGCUAUACGACUGGGGACACAUGUCUUAGAAGCACACUCAUUAGAUAAAGUGUCGCAUACUCUUUGAUAAGUGACUCAGAACACCCGUGUCCUUCCCAACAUUGGAUGCAAUGCUAAAGACAUGAUGUUGCUCCUGCUGGACCACACCUUGAAGGAAUUGCCUACCCCACCUCACCUCCAAAAUUAAAGUCUUUCGUUUUGACAAAAGUUAAUGAUAAGGUUUGAUGUGCUAAUUUCAGCACCUCCACUUCAUGUCUACACUGUGGACAUAUACUUUUUUGUUGUUUUGGGGUUUUU
RNAcentral lists this long non-coding RNA (819 nucleotides) under Homo sapiens (human). Its description in RNAcentral is "HSALNT0082523". The record is from RNAcentral. Lineage: Eukaryota; Metazoa; Chordata; Mammalia; Primates; Hominidae.